RNAcentral lists this transfer RNA (55 nucleotides) under Polyacanthorhynchus caballeroi. RNAcentral describes it as "tRNA-Ala". The record is from RNAcentral. Lineage: Eukaryota; Metazoa; Acanthocephala; Polyacanthocephala; Polyacanthorhynchidae.
UGAUUCUUUAGGUUAAUAAAACUACAUAAAUUGCUAUUAUGGGAUUUUAGGAUCA